Molecule: transfer RNA, 67 nt
Filed under: Mitjaevia diana
Lineage: Eukaryota; Metazoa; Arthropoda; Insecta; Hemiptera; Cicadellidae
Description: tRNA-Leu
Rfam family: tRNA
About the family: Transfer RNA (tRNA) molecules are approximately 80 nucleotides in length. Their secondary structure includes four short double-helical elements and three loops (D, anti-codon, and T loops).
Source: RNAcentral
UUCAAUGUGGCAGAAAUUAAUGCAUUGAGCUUAAAAUUCAAUUAUAAAUAAUUUUAUUUCUUUGAAA